This 283-nucleotide long non-coding RNA is filed under the name Elaeis guineensis (African oil palm). RNAcentral describes it as "long non-coding RNA (EGUI_LNC044418)". Lineage: Eukaryota; Viridiplantae; Streptophyta; Magnoliopsida; Arecales; Arecaceae. The record is from RNAcentral.
GUGCGGCGUCUUUCUGAACUCCCCCGACUGUCCCAGCUUCCAUAAUACCAUCCGGACUUCUCCAAUAAUGAGCUCCUCCAUUCAUCUAUCGGACUGCUCCAAAUGCUCUCUGAGCUUCACUAUCAGCCGAUUUUGUACAAUGAUCGACUAUUCUCUGAAUCUCUUCCAGACUUCUUCCAGCCACGAUCGACUCUACUCCAAACUUCUAUUGCAAGCGGAGUUCAUCCGAGCUCCUCAAGAGCCGAACUCCGUCCGAACUUCUAUAGUGGAUGGAUUCCAGAUG